This 416-nucleotide long non-coding RNA is filed under the name Mytilus galloprovincialis (Mediterranean mussel). The record is from RNAcentral. Lineage: Eukaryota; Metazoa; Mollusca; Bivalvia; Mytilida; Mytilidae.
CACAUACGGUACACAUUGUAGUCCGGAAAAAAUAAAGGACUUCAUUCCUAUCAAACACCUUUUUAAUUGUUUACCAGUAUAUUUCUUUUAGUUUUGGGUAAAAUUGUAAAGAAAAUAAUACUAUCAAGACGUCCUUCCAUAAAUCUUUUUUUUCUGUUCUGACUUUGAAGAAAUGACUACUUUUCGCCCAAUCGAAAUGGUGCAUGGACAUAUUUUGUUUCAUAUUAUUAGAAUUAUUUUCAAUAUUAUCGGUAUUAAACUUGAUUAUCGACACAUAAAAGUUUGUCAGCAUUGUCAAUCUUUUUAACGUUAAAGUACCAAUAGUUCGGUCACUACUCAAUUAAGUUUGUCGAUAACGCAGCUAAUUUUGACGGUAAAGAAACAUCAAUUCGAUCACUUCUCUGUUACGGGCUGUA